UCAGAUUCAGACACGCACCUUCUAACAAUCUGAUCUGGACAAUAUUUCCAUAAGUAUGGAUCAUCCCAAACAUAAUACCUACUUGUUUUUACAAGCUUAUCCUUUUGAGCGCGAGUGAGAUCCUUCGGAAUCAGUUUUGAGGCCUUAUAAUUGAUAAUGUCAGCGUACCAAGGGUCCUUGGCUUCGAGGGUGAAGAGUUGCUCACGGGGAAACUUUCACGUAGAGGAAGCACGUCCUCUUCUUCAUUGGAUCCUUGCGCCAGCCUACUCAAAUGGUCAGCCA
This 282-nucleotide long non-coding RNA is filed under the name Prunus persica (peach). RNAcentral's name for it is "long non-coding RNA (PPER_LNC006399)". Lineage: Eukaryota; Viridiplantae; Streptophyta; Magnoliopsida; Rosales; Rosaceae. The record is from RNAcentral.